This 482-nucleotide ribosomal RNA is filed under the name uncultured bacterium. Its description in RNAcentral is "partial 16S ribosomal RNA". It matches the Rfam family "Bacterial small subunit ribosomal RNA", at positions 30 to 507 of the family's 1533-position model. The record is from RNAcentral.
AUUGAACGCUGGCGGCAUGCCUUACACAUGCAAGUCGAACGGUAACGGGCCUUCGGGUGCCGACGAGUGGCGCACGGGUGAGUAAUACAUCGGAACGUGCCCGAUCGUGGGGGAUAACGAGGCGAAAGCUUUGCUAAUACCUCAUACGAUCUACGGAUGAAAGCAGGGGACCGCAAGGCCUUGCGCGGACGGAGCGGCCGAUGGCAGAUUAGGUAGUUGGUGGGAUAAAAGCUUACCAAGCCGACGAUCUGUAGCUGGUCUGAGAGGAUGAUCGGCCACACUGGGACUGAGACACGGCCCAGACUCCUACGGGAGGCAGCAGUGGGGAAUUUUGGACAAUGGGCGCAAGCCUGAUCCAGCCAUGCCGCGUGCAGGAUGAAGGCCUUCGGGUUGUAAACUGCUUUUGUACGGAACGAAAAGCCUUCUUUUAAUACAGGAGGGUCAUGACGGUACCGUAAGAAUAAGCACCGGCUAACUACGUG